Molecule: ribosomal RNA, 497 nt
Filed under: uncultured bacterium
Lineage: Bacteria
Description: partial 16S ribosomal RNA
Rfam family: Bacterial small subunit ribosomal RNA
Source: RNAcentral
GAUGAACGCUGGCGGCGUGCCUAAUACAUGCAAGUCGAGCGAACAGAUGAGGAGCUUGCUCCUUUGACGUUAGCGGCGGACGGGUGAGUAACACGUGGAUAACCUACCUAUAAGACUGGGAUAACUCCGGGAAACCGGAGCUAAUACCGGAUAACAUAUUGAACCGCAUGGUUCAAUAGUGAAAGACGGCUUUGCUGUCACUUAUAGAUGGAUCCGCGCCGCAUUAGCUAGUUGGUAAGGUAACGGCUUACCAAGGCAACGAUGCGUAGCCGACCUGAGAGGGUGAUCGGCCACACUGGAACUGAGACACGGUCCAGACUCCUACGGGAGGCAGCAGUAGGGAAUCUUCCGCAAUGGGCGAAAGCCUGACGGAGCAACGCCGCGUGAGUGAUGAAGGUCUUCGGAUCGUAAAACUCUGUUAUUAGGGAAGAACAAAUGUGUAAGUAACUGUGCACGUCUUGACGGUACCUAAUCAGAAAGCCACGGCUAACUACGUG